Molecule: unclassified non-coding RNA, 2602 nt
Filed under: uncultured fungus
Lineage: Eukaryota; Fungi
Description: sequence contains 18S rRNA gene, ITS1, 5.8S rRNA gene, ITS2, 28S rRNA gene
Rfam family: Eukaryotic large subunit ribosomal RNA (bases 1252-2602)
Source: RNAcentral
GGAAGGAUCAUUAACAUUAGUUACUCCCAGGUAGUAGUAGUAGUAGUUCUUCUUCUACUACUACCAAAACAACAUCAAACAAAACAAACCGCUGUGCAACAACAACCCAACAGUUGUUGUUUGUUAGGCGGUUUCCUAUCGUUGAAGAUGAAGAUGAAGAUGAAGACGAAGAAGAAGGAGGAGAAGAAGAAGAAGCUUGCUUCUUCCUCUUCCCCUGCUCUCUGCUCUCUGCUCUCUCUUUAUUUUUACAUACAAACAAAACAAACAAAAACUUCUAUGAUAACUAUACAACAAAACAAACAAAACCAAAACACAACUCCUAACAACGGAUAUCUUGGUUCUCGCGAGGAUGAAGAACGCAGCGAAAUGCGAUACGUAGUGUGAAUCGCAGGGAUCAGUGAAUCAUCGAAUCUUUGAACGCAUAUUGCGCUCUCGGUGUGUUAAUCUCCUCAUCACCGGGAGCACGUCUGCUUGAGUGCCGUUAACCUUUCUAUUUUUCCCCUCCUAACCCUACCCUCUUCUUUGCCCCUAAACAAGCCAAGAAGAGGGAGGGGGAAGGGGGGACGCUCUUCAACUGAUUUUGAGUCAGUUGAGGAGACGGAUCUAAUCAGGGAACUCGCCAGCGUGCCACACGGCGCCUGGCGUUCUCCUCAGAGCAGAGCCCCAUCAUCAUCAUCGCCGCUCCAGCAACGACGACUGGUUGGUUGGUUGGUUGGACAAAUCACCCUUCCUCCUCGACGCUUCUUCGGUCUCUUUCCUGCUGCUGCUGCUGCUUCUGUUCCUCAGCGAUUUACGCGCGCUCAAAUAACUUUCGACCCACACCCGCUGUGACGACGACGACGACUAUGCUGUUGUUGUUAUGCAUAAAAAUGAUGAGGACAUCACGUGCGUCACCGCGCGUGCAUCUCCAAGUUGUAGAUUGUGCAAAUCAGUCACCAGUCAUUUCGUCGUCUUGUUCGCGGCGGCGGUUGGGGGUUGACGAGUUGGUUGGGCUGUGCUGCUGAGUGAGCGAGCGAGUGGGAGGGAGAGGCAGGAUGUGUGUGUGUGAGGAGGAGGAGGUUGGUUUUUCUUUCCCCAUUCAUCUCUUGUUGUCAUCAUUGUUUGUUGGGGGUUUCAGGUGGAUGUGUGAGAAGGGGGGAAAACAAAAAACUACUCUCUCUGUGUGUCUGUCUUCUAUUUUCUUUCUUUCCUUAUAAAGAAAGAAAGAAAGUAGGUAGGUUAACAACAACAACAAAACACAACAACAAAUCUCGGCCUCAAGUCAGGCGACAUUACCCGCCGAAUUUAAGCAUAUUAAUAAGCGGAGGAAAAGAAACCAACAGGGAUUCCCUUAGUAGCGGCGAGCGAAGCGGGAGGAGCCCAAGCUCUGAAUCUGAGUGCCGAUCAGUAGGCAUUCCGAAUUGUGGUCUCUUAAGGGAAAAGUCGGGCGGUGGUCGUAAAAAAACUACUGUCAGGCUUUUUUCCUCAAAGGCGAGCCAUCGCUGGAACAGCGCCCCGGACAAAAGUCUCUUGGAACAGUGUGCCAGGGAGGGUGACAGCCCCGUUCAUUGGUCCGGCGCCAUGCGCAGUUCCGUUUGUGCCGUUGGUUCGCCCCAGAGUCGGGUUGUUUGGGAAUGCAGCCCUAAGCGGGUGGUAAAUCCCACCCAAGGCUAAAUAAUCAGCGAGAGACCGAUAGCGAACAAGUACCGUGAGGGAAAGAUGAAACAGGACUUUGAAAAGAGAGUCAAAAGUGCUUGAAAUUGUUAGGAGGGAAGCGAUCGGCGUCGGCAGAUCUCUUUUUUUGGCUCAACCCCAAAAAGGAAUCUCUUCGCCGCCUUGGCCGUUCAGCAUAUGUGUUGAUCCGCAGCGCAGGGUGUUUUUUCUCCCAGAAGUUGGUCAAACAACCUUGGGCGCUCCUGCACUGAUCGAAGGUCACACGUGUGUGCACUCGGCCUUGUGCGGUGAGCCAGCAUCAGCUCCAAUAAUCUAGGCGAUGGACAGCUUGUCUGAGUCAUGGCCCCAGGAGAGGGCGCGGGGGGCCGGCCUCACGGUCGAGUUCUCCCCGUAGCGAUCCUGGGUGUCCGAGUCAAUCGCUGGGGCUGAGGAAAAUCAAGCGCAUGCGCUUCAUUGCGCGAGGCUACACGCUGUCGGGGCGUGCCAGCAUGUGUGGAUCGGGAACCGAUGCACGUGUGUGCUUUUGGCGUGUCCCUUGCGGCGUGCAACCCAUCUCUGAGUGCGCUAGAGAUGCUGGCGGAACGGCGCUGACCGUCCCGUCUUGAAACACGGACCAAGGAGUCUAACACGUGCGCGAGUGCCCGGGUGGCAAACCCCGGCGCGGAGUGAAAGCAGAGGACAACGUUAUGGUUUGUCUGAGGUGAGAAGGGUAGGCCACCAAUUCAUUUUGGUGGUCGCAUCCUGCAUCACCGGCCGACCUGGAUUUUUUUGAAAGGUUCGAGCGAGAGCGUGCUUGUUGGGACCCGAAAGAUUGUGAACUAUGGGUGACCAGGAUGAAGCCAGAGGAAACUCUGGUGGAGGUCCGAAGCGAUACUGACGUGCAAAUCGUUCGUCUGAGUUGCCUAUAGGGGCGAAAGACUAAUCGAACAAUCUAGUAGCUGGUUCCCUC